UUAGCCAAAUCGGUGUAUCGGUGUGUACUUUGAGGGAAUUAAAAUGUUGAAGUAGUUUUAUAUAAAUAAGUUAUUUUUAAAAGAGAGGUUUUAUUUCUGUACUUUUUGUAUCAUGGUUUAUAGAGUUUGAAAAUUUAUUAUUUUAUCCUGAAAGUUUUAGAGCUAACUGUUUUAUUGGUAGACACCUUAAGGGGCUGAUAAGAACUUCUUUCUCGUAAGUAGUGUUCUAGAAAUAAAUAUAAUGUUGCAUAAUUAUGUGUAAAGGGAUAGUUAGAGGUGAAAUGUCAUUCGGAAAAGUUGAUAGCUGGUUGAGAAGGAAAUGCAUCUACGUGCAGAAAAAACAUAUUUUAGAAUAAAAUUGUUUUGAUUGAGUUUAUUGGGGGUUAGCUCGAUAAAAUAUGUAAAAAGAUAGCUAAUUGAUGUUGAGGUCAAAUUACUCAUUUAUUAGUAGUUAUUUAGAUAUAGAUUUAUUAUCUUUUGUUGUUUUAGUACUUCUUUUAAUUUCAUAAUUAAGUAUUAUUAAAUUAGUAUAAAAUUAGUAGAAUAUAAUUUUCAGUUAGAUAUUUUCUGAAAAAAUAAUUAACAGUCCUGUUUAUCAAGAAAUCAGGAAUGGUAAAGGAUUACCUGUAAUUAAGUAAACUAGACCUUUAGGUUUAAGAAUAAAAAAUUGUUAGGAAGGAACUCGGCAAAAAAUUUUCUCGCCUGUUUAUUAAAAACAUGGCCCUUAGGUCAAAAAUAAUAAGGGUCGGCCCUGCCCGGUGGGGUGAGCUCUUAACGGCUGCAGUUGGUAGCUGUACUAAGGUAGCGCAAUAAAUUGCCCUUUAAUUGGGGGACGGAAUGAAUGGGUUGACGUGGGAAAAACUGUCUCUUUAACAACGUUCAAAAUUUUCUUUUUGGUGAAAAGGCCAAGAUAUUUGUAAAAGACGAGAAGACCCCAUGGAGCUUAAUUAAUCUCUGUUUAUCUAGCAGAGAUAAAGUUUUACUGGGGCAGUAGGGAUAUAAAAUUAACUAUCUAUAAAAUAAUAUAAAGGAUCCUUUAAAUAAAGUCGGAUGAAAAAGUUACCCUGGGGAUAACAGCGUUAUCUUCUUUUAGAGGACUAAUCGAAAAGAAGGUUUGCGACCUCGAUGUUGGAUUUGGGUAUCUGUCUGGUUGCAGGAGCUAGAGGAGUAGGACUGUUCGUCCUUUAAAACUCAACAUGAUCUGAGUUUAGACCGGUGUAAACUAGGUCAGUUUCUAUCUUUAUGAUUUUGAACUAUUGUACGAAAGGAUCCAGGUCAAAAGUUUGACUUGUUUGCUUAUUUUAAUAUAAUAUUAACGCAAGAUUAUACAGUCUAAAUUAAAUUAAUGAGAAAUAAUAAAGUAUGACAAUAAAGAGAAAACAUGUUUCAGGGUUAA
Molecule: non-coding RNA, 1396 nt
Organism: Mya arenaria
Lineage: Eukaryota; Metazoa; Mollusca; Bivalvia; Myida; Myidae
Source: the annotation of a RefSeq genome assembly